GUUAUAUGGUCAAGCGAAUAAGCGCACACGGUGGAUGCCUUGGCGGUCAGAGGCGAUGAAGGACGUGGCAGCCUGCGAAAAGUAUCGGGGAGCUGGCAACAAGCUUUGAUCCGGUAAUGUCCGAAUGGGGAAACCCACCCGCUUGCGGGUAUCCUGCAGUGAAUACAUAGCUGCUGGAAGCGAACCUGGUGAACUGAAAUAUCUAAGUAACCAGAGGAAAAGAAAUCAACCGAGAUUCCGUAAGUAGCGACGAGCGAACGCGGACUAGCCCUUAAGCUGAUUUGGUUCUAGGAAAAUGCUCUGGAAAGAGCAGCCAUAGAAGGUGAUAGCCCUGUAUCUGAAAGGGCCAUUUCAGUGAAGACGAGUAGGGCGGGGCACGUGAAACCCUGUCUGAACAUGGGGGGACCAUCCUCCAAGGCUAAAUACUACUGACCGACCGAUAGUGAACCAGUACCGUGAGGGAAAGGCGAAAAGAACCCCGGAGAGGGGAGUGAAAUAGAUCCUGAAACCGUGUGCGUACAAGCAGUAGGAGCUCCGCAAGGAGUGACUGCGUACCUUUUGUAUAAUGGGUCAGCGACUUACUGUUCGUGGCAAGCUUAACCGUAUAGGGGAGGCGAAGGGAAACCGAGUCUGAUAAGGGCGCAUAGUCGCGGGCAGUAGACCCGAAACCGGGUGAUCUAGUCAUGGCCAGGGUGAAGGUGCCGUAACAGGUACUGGAGGCCCGAACCCACGUCUGUUGCAAAAGACGGGGAUGAGCUGUGAUUAGGAGUGAAAAGCUAAUCGAACCCGGAGAUAGCUGGUUCUCCUCGAAAGCUAUUUAGGUAGCGCCUCAUAUGUAUCCUCUCGGGGGUAGAGCACUGUUAUGGCUAGGGGGUCAUCGCGACUUACCAAACCAUUGCAAACUCCGAAUACCGAGACGGACUGUAUGGGAGACACACGGCGGGUGCUAACGUCCGUCGUGAAAAGGGAAACAACCCAGACCCACAGCUAAGGUCCCAAAUUUUGUGCUAAGUGGAAAACCAUGUGGAAAGGCACAGACAGCCAGGAGGUUGGCUUAGAAGCAGCCACCCUUUAAAGAAAGCGUAAUAGCUCACUGGUCGAGUCGGUCUGCGGGGAAGAUUUAACGGGGCUAAGCACAAAACCGAAGCUUGGGGUGCAUAACUUUGUUAUGCGCGGUAGAGGAGCGUUCCGUAAGCCGUUGAAGGUGGAUUGAGAAGUCUGCUGGAGGUAUCGGAAGUGCGAAUGCUGACAUGAGUAACGAUAAUGCGGGUGAAAAACCCGCACGCCGAAAGCCCAAGGUUUCCUUGCGCAACGUUAAUCGGCGCAGGGUGAGUCGGCCCCUAAGGCGAGGACGAAAGUCGUAGUCGAUGGAAAGCAGGUUAAUAUUCCUGCACCUCGCGUAAGUGCGAUGGAGGGACGGAGAAGGUUAGGUGUACCAGGCGUUGGUUGUCCUGGGGAAAGGCGGUAGGUUUGGAUCUUUGGCAAAUCCGGGAUCCUUUAAGACCGAGCACCGAGACGAGUCUUUAUGACGAAGUCACUGAUACCACGCUUCCAGGAAAAGCUCCUAAGCUUCAGCUUACGCAGACCGUACCGUAAACCGACACAGGUGGGUAGGAUGAGAAUUCUCAGGCGCUUGAGAGAACUCGGGUGAAGGAACUAGGCAACAUGGCACCGUAACUUCGGGAGAAGGUGCACCCUUUUUGGUGGCUCGUGCGAGCUAUAGCUGAAGAGGGUCGCAGUAACCAGGCCGCUGCGACUGUUUAUCAAAAACACAGCACUCUGCAAACACGAAAGUGGACGUAUAGGGUGUGACGCCUGCCCGGUGCUGGAAGGUUAAUUGAUGGGGUCAGCCGCAAGGCGAAGCUCUUGAUCGAAGCCCCAGUAAACGGCGGCCGUAACUAUAACGGUCCUAAGGUAGCGAAAUUCCUUGUCGGGUAAGUUCCGACCUGCACGAAUGGCGUAACGACAGCGGCGCUGUCUCCACCCGAGACUCAGUGAAAUUGAAAUCGCUGUGAAGAUGCAGCGUUCCCGUGGCAAGACGGAAAGACCCCGUGAACCUUUACUAUAGCUUUACACUGAACGUUGAGUUCGUCUGUGUAGGAUAGGUGGGAGGCUAUGAAACUGUGGCGCUAGCUGCAGUGGAGCCAUCCUUGAAAUACCACCCUGUCGUGCUUGACGUUCUAACCUGGGCCCAUUAUCUGGGUCGGGGACCGUGUAUGGUGGGUAGUUUGACUGGGGCGGUCUCCUCCUAAAGAGUAACGGAGGAGCUCGAAGGUACGCUCAGCGCGGUCGGACAUCGCGCACUGUGUGCAAAGGCAUAAGCGUGCUUGACUGCAAGAUCGACGGAUCAAGCAGGUAGGAAACUAGGACUUAGUGAUCCGGUGGUUCUGUAUGGAAGGGCCAUCGCUCAACGGAUAAAAGGUACUCCGGGGAUAACAGGCUGAUACCGCCCAAGAGUUCAUAUCGACGGCGGUGUUUGGCACCUCGAUGUCGGCUCAUCACAUCCUGGGGCUGUAGUCGGUCCCAAGGGUAUGGCUGUUCGCCAUUUAAAGUGGUACGCGAGCUGGGUUCAGAACGUCGUGAGACAGUUCGGUCCCUAUCUGCCAUGGGCGUUGGAGAUUUGAGAGGGGCUGCUCCUAGUACGAGAGGACCGGAGUGGACGAACCUCUGGUGUUCCGGUUGUCACGCCAGUGGCAUUGCCGGGUAGCUAUGUUCGGAAGCGAUAACCGCUGAAAGCAUCUAAGCGGGAAGCGCGCCUCAAGAUGAGAUCUCCCGGGGCACAAGCCCCCUGAAGGAACCAUAUAGACUAUGUGGUUGAUAGGUCAGGUGUGUAAGUACAGCAAUGUAUUGAGCUAACUGAUACUAAUGAUCCGUGUGGCUUGACCAUAUAACCU
Molecule: ribosomal RNA, 2894 nt
Filed under: Stenotrophomonas maltophilia
Lineage: Bacteria; Pseudomonadati; Pseudomonadota; Gammaproteobacteria; Lysobacterales; Lysobacteraceae
Description: bacterial LSU rRNA
Rfam family: Bacterial large subunit ribosomal RNA
Source: RNAcentral